ACCCAGACUACCGUUUGCAACUCCACAUGGGGACAAAUGGGGUUUGCACCUGGAGUCACCUGGAGACUUGAGGUAAUUGUACUGAGAGCAUGUGUUUGGUGAAAAAAACCCAGACUACCGUUUGCAACUCCACAUGGGGACAUGGGGUUUGCACCUGGAGUCACCUGGAGACUUGAGGACUGAGAGGUAUUGGAGGUAGGCGGAGACUUCUCACAGCUGAGCAGGAGACUGCCCUGGAGAAUAUGGUGAUUGCCAAUAAUGCCAUCUGUUUGAGGGAAAUUCAAACCCAAAUAGUUGAAAACCUGGUAGUCUUCCAAGGAAUUGACAGCAUCAGCAUUUCCACCAUUGACCGGAUCGUUCAGAAGAACCAAAUAAGGACAAAGCAGCUGUACUGUGUGCCUUUUGAAAGGAAUUCAAACAGAGUUAAGGAGCAACGAUUCCAGUACGUGCAGGGGCGUGUGAGCAGUCCUGGGAAAAGUGGAGACGGAUCAGGCAAGCAAGGUGCUGAAACGAAAGCUAGCCAUAUGAUAAUGAUGACUAGCUAUCUUAGAUAGCUGGCUAUGGAUUUCCAGUACCAGGCUGGAGAGUGGUGGUGGCCACUGGAGGGCAAGCAAUGUUACUGAGCACACCUAGAAGCUCAUCGGCAUGAAGUUCAUCUAUACCAGCUGAUACAAGUAGCCUAGCUAGCACAGAAUGUUCCUGUAACGUUCCUUAAAGGUUCUUAGAAAAUAACUUUCAGCAGUGGAAAUGGUUAUGAGGGAACAUUUUGUUACGUUAAAGCCUUAUUCUAAAAUGUAUUGAAUCAUUCCACCCCCCCCCCCCCCCCCCUCAAUCUACCCACAAUACCCCAUAAUGACAAAGCAAAAACAGUUUUGUUGAAAUUUGUUUAAAAAAUGUUUUUAAAUGGUUACAAAUAUUAUUUUAUGUGGGAAGGGCACGACAUCUCAUGAUGAUGGCUGCUGGGGAAAAAGGCCAUGUGAGGAUCCAUGUCUGAUUCAGCACACAGUCAAUACCACACAAGCACUCGUGAUCUUAAUAGUACUCACCUGCCCACUAGCCUGCCAGGCACUCACUCUCUGACACCACUGUAGGAACAGAAAAUGACGUUAGUAUUCAAUAGGAGCACUGAGACAAGCAGCCUGCUGACUGGAGGGAAUUGGAGUCCACCGAGUUCCAUCGACUUGUCUGGCCAAGAACCAGUCUGCUAACACUGCUAGCUAGUAGCUACCCCCCUUUCUUUCCCUAAGCACAUUGAAAGGGAACACUAGACCUAGUAGGAAACAUUCUCCCCAACCCAUUUUGAACUCUGUUUCAACAAUCAUCAGCUGAUUCAGAAAAUAAUUUCCCCUUUGACAGUAAAGUGAGCAGCUGAUAACUCUUCAACUCACGUGCUUUUAAAAUGUAUUUAUGUGUCAUACGUUGUCACGGCUCCUCCUCUGCAUUGCAGGGGCAUUUCCUCCUGCAGGCAGAGGAGGGUCGUUAGUGAUUGGAGUCACCUGGGAUCAGAGUAUUUAAACUGUCACUAAUCACCUCUCUCUCCGCUCCUCCAGGUAUGAACCUGUUUUGUUUGUUCCUUUGUAGUUUUGCAUAGUUUUCACUCAGUCAUUCACAGAUUCAUGUAUCCAUGCACUUUACAUACACCCUACAUUAUGAUACUUUCACACCUCAUUCCUUUUUCUUAGUUUAAAGUUAAUAGUUUUGUUUACAAUAAAGAUUUUUUUAAAUUGGCCUA
Molecule: non-coding RNA, 1732 nt
Organism: Oncorhynchus mykiss (rainbow trout)
Lineage: Eukaryota; Metazoa; Chordata; Actinopteri; Salmoniformes; Salmonidae
Source: RefSeq, a predicted model, not a curated record